Molecule: long non-coding RNA, 286 nt
Filed under: Jatropha curcas
Lineage: Eukaryota; Viridiplantae; Streptophyta; Magnoliopsida; Malpighiales; Euphorbiaceae
Description: long non-coding RNA (JCUR_LNC002807)
Source: RNAcentral
UUUGAUGCUCUUUUGCUUCUCAGUUCGCGUCUUCUUCGUCUCCGACUGAUACAUCAAUUUGGAAGACCUUCUGAAAUCCAAAUAUAUCAUUGAAGGUUGAACACUUCCUGUUUUGAGCUACAAAAAGUCAGCUUCUGGUUCUAUUUUCUUUGAUUGGUAGACGCAUACAUUGUAAUGUUAUUUGCAAGAUAUGUGAUUCUGCAAAUGAGACCAUAACUCAUUGUUUGAAAGACUAUGGUAAGGCUAAACAAUCAUGGAAGCUAUGUCCCCUCUGUUUCAAAACAGA